UGGUGGAGCGAUUUGUCUGGUCAAUUCCGAUAACCAACGAGACUCUAGCCUACUAAAUAGUUCGGGGACCCCCACAAAGGGGCCCCGCUUCAACUUCUUAGAGGGACAGGUGGCGUUUAGCCACACGAGAUUGAGCAAUAACA
Molecule: ribosomal RNA, 143 nt
Filed under: uncultured eukaryote
Lineage: Eukaryota
Description: partial 18S ribosomal RNA
Rfam family: Eukaryotic small subunit ribosomal RNA
Source: RNAcentral